GCAAACUUGGUCAUUUAGAGGAAGUAAAAGUCGUAACAAGGUUUCCGUAGGUGAACCUGCGGAAGGAUCAUUACUGAGUGAGGGCCCUCUGGGUCCAACCUCCCACCCGUGUUUAUUGUACCUUGUUGCUUCGGCAGGCCCGCCUCACGGCCGCCGGGGGGCUUCUCGCCCCCGGGCCCGCGCCUGCCGGAGACACCUUUGAACGCUGUCUGAAGUUUGCAGUCUGAGCGAUUAGCUAAAUUAGUUAAAACUUUCAACAACGGAUCUCUUGGUUCCGGCAUCGAUGAAGAACGCAGC
Molecule: unclassified non-coding RNA, 297 nt
Filed under: uncultured fungus
Lineage: Eukaryota; Fungi
Description: partial contains small subunit ribosomal RNA, internal transcribed spacer 1, and 5.8S ribosomal RNA
Rfam family: Eukaryotic small subunit ribosomal RNA (bases 1-73)
Source: RNAcentral